UCAGGUGGCCGCAGAGAAUAGGCCCAAGCGACUGUUUACCAAAAACAUAGGUUUCUGCUAAGUCGCAAGACGAUGUAUAGGAGCUGACGCCUGCCCGGUGCUGGAAGGUUAAGGGGAUCUGUUAGAGCAAUCGAAGCAGUGAACUUAAGCCCCAGUAAACGGCGGCCGUAACUAUAACGGUCCUAAGGUAGCGAAAUUCCUUGUCGGGUAAGUUCCGACCCGCACGAAAGGCGUAACGAUUUGGGCACUGUCUCAACAACAGACUCGGUGAAAUUGUAAUUCCGGUGAAGAUGCCGGAUACCUGCGACAGGACGGAAAGACCCCAUGGAGCUUUACUGUAGCUUGACAUUGGGUCUUGGUACUACAUGUACAGGAUAGGUGGGAGGCUUUGAAACCAGGACGCCAGUUUUGGCGGAGCCAUCCUUGGGAUACCACCCUUGUAGUACUGGGACUCUAACCAUAGGCCAUGAAUCUGGUCUUGGGACACUGUCAGGUGGGCAGUUUGACUGGGGCGGUCGCCUCCCAAAAGGUAACGGAGGCGCUCAAAGGUUCUCUCAGUACGGUCGGAAAUCGUACGUAGAGUGUAAAGGCAAAAGAGAGCUUGAUUGCAAGACAUACAGGUCGAGCAAGGAUGAAAAUCGGACUUAGUGAUCCGGUGGUUCUGCGUGGAAGGGCCA
This 677-nucleotide ribosomal RNA is filed under the name Clostridioides difficile. RNAcentral describes it as "partial 23S ribosomal RNA". It matches the Rfam family "Bacterial large subunit ribosomal RNA", at positions 1769 to 2444 of the family's 2925-position model. Lineage: Bacteria; Bacillati; Bacillota; Clostridia; Peptostreptococcales; Peptostreptococcaceae. The record is from RNAcentral.